This 72-nucleotide non-coding RNA is filed under the name Citrobacter freundii. Its description in RNAcentral is "Nucleoid-associated noncoding RNA 4 (CssrE)". It matches the Rfam family "Nucleoid-associated noncoding RNA 4 (CssrE)". Rfam says of the family: In E. coli small RNA transcribed from repeated extragenic palindromic element (REP325) called nucleoid-associated ncRNA 4 (nRNA4) collaborates HU protein in condensing the DNA. The secondary structure but not the sequence of the RNA is important in nucleoid condensation. Lineage: Bacteria; Pseudomonadati; Pseudomonadota; Gammaproteobacteria; Enterobacterales; Enterobacteriaceae. The record is from RNAcentral.
GGCCGGAUAAAGCGUUUACGCUGCCAUCCGGCAUCGAUGCCCGGUGGCGACGCGGAUGCGUCUUACCGGGCC